GCUGAGAGGAAUGUUGUCUGGCUCGAGGUCAUGGAGGUUGAUUCUCUCCAAUACUCUCUCUCUCGGACCAGGCUUCAUUCCCCCCAGC
Molecule: microRNA precursor, 88 nt
Filed under: Morus notabilis
Lineage: Eukaryota; Viridiplantae; Streptophyta; Magnoliopsida; Rosales; Moraceae
Description: mir-166 microRNA precursor family
Rfam family: mir-166 microRNA precursor family
About the family: This family represents the plant microRNA (miRNA) precursor mir-166.
Source: Rfam by way of RNAcentral